This 459-nucleotide ribosomal RNA is filed under the name uncultured bacterium. RNAcentral's name for it is "partial 16S ribosomal RNA". It matches the Rfam family "Bacterial small subunit ribosomal RNA", at positions 338 to 795 of the family's 1533-position model. The record is from RNAcentral.
CCUACGGGUGGCAGCUGUGAGGAAUAUUGGUCAAUGGGCGCGAGCCUGAACCAGCCAAGUAGCGUGAGGGAAGACGGUCCUACGGAUUGUAAACCUCUUUUGUCGGGGAGCAAAAGACCCUACGCGUAGCGUUCCGCGAGUACCCGAAGAAUAAGCAUCGGCUAACUCCGUGCCAGCAGCCGCGGUAAUACGGAGGAUGCGAGCGUUAUCCGGAUUUAUUGGGUUUAAAGGGUGCGCAGGCGGAAGUGCAAGUCAGCGGUAAAAUUGAGAGCCUCAACCGCGUCGAGCCGUUGAAACUGGUUUUCUUGAGUGAGUGAGAAGUAUGCGGAAUGCGUGGUGUAGCGGUGAAAUGCAUAGAUAUGACGCAGAACUCCGAUUGCGAAGGCAGCAUACCGGCGCUCAACUGACGCUCAUGCACGAAAGUGUGGGUAUCGAACAGGAUUAGAUACCCGAGUAGUC